This 1190-nucleotide small RNA is filed under the name Pongo abelii (Sumatran orangutan). RNAcentral describes it as "retained intron". The record is from RNAcentral. Lineage: Eukaryota; Metazoa; Chordata; Mammalia; Primates; Hominidae.
UUGGUGCGAAGGGCUUUGGAAGGGGUGGAGGAGGAGGCUCCUGGGCAGAGUCAGUCUUUCUGUGGUUGCUGAUACCCUCCUUGUGCCAGGCCAGGGGCCAAGCUGUAGGGGCACAGAGAUAGCAUCUAACAUGAUCAACACUCUGGUGGACAAGACAGAUUAUGAAAUAAGCAAGUUCACAUCAGGGCGGGAGGUGCUUGCAGCAGCAGAUUUGGGCCUUGGUUGUUUCAGGACUAACUUAAAUGUGGUGAGGGUGAGUCGGGGAAAGGGUGCUUAGAGUUCAGGAGGAAACCAGGAAUAGUCUCCAGGAGCCAAGAAAGCCAAGAUUCUAUAGAGGGCUGGUCAGCUGUGACAGUGGAAGGUAGAGUAGGGCUAGGCUGGGUUCUAGACCUAUCAGGUGAUGGUGGCCCUCCGUCUCCCCUUCACUGCCUUAUACCACUUCAGAGUCCCUGGCACCUGGAGAAUCUGCCACUGCUGUAAUGGGCAUUAAUUUCUGUGACUCAACCCAGGCAGCCAACUUCCAGCUGUGCACCCAGACCCGACAGUUCUACGUCUCCAUUCAGCCACCUGUUGGGGAGCUGAUGGCCCCUGUGUUUAUGAGUGAAAAUGAGUUUAAGAAGGAACAGGGAAAGCUGAUGGGCAUGAAUGAGAUCACAGAGAAACUCAUGCUGCCAGACACCUGUCGGAGUGACCACAUUGUGGUGCAGAAAGUGACUGCCACUGCCAACCUGGGUCGUGUUCCUUGUGGGACAUCCGAUGAGUACAGGUUUGCAGGGAGGACACUGACCGGUGGAAGCCUCGUUCUGCUGACCCUGGAUGCCCGGCCAGCUGGAGCUGCCCAGCUGACUGUCAACAGCGAGAAAAUGGUGAUUGGCACCAUGCUGGUAAAGGAUGUGAUACAGGCUCUGACCCAGUGACUUCCAAAUGCUGUGACCUCUUUGGCUCCCAUCUAUACCUCCCCAUGACAUCUGGGCUGUCAGUCCCUCUCAUCUUUCUCUCUCUCUCAUCCUCCUCCUCAUGCCAGAUAGCAUUCAGGGUGCCCUCUCUCCCUCUGGAGGACCAAGCCCUCCCCUAAUGCCCUCCCCAUGCAUUCCUUAGUGAUCUCUGCAGAGGGAGAUGGCAGCCACUCCCUUCAGUCCUCCCAGAUUUCUGUAGCUAUUUAUGUAGCAGGCUCAAUAAAAUGUCUUCUC